This is a long non-coding RNA of Diorhabda carinulata, 1106 nucleotides long. RefSeq lists it as uncharacterized. The transcript has 3 exons. The record is from RefSeq and is a predicted model, not a curated record. Lineage: Eukaryota; Metazoa; Arthropoda; Insecta; Coleoptera; Chrysomelidae.
CUGAAAACUGAAACAGAGCCACACCAGAAAUGUGUUAAAUCAACUGUGUUCUGUGAUCAAACGUUAACUUGUGGCCUUCUUACAAGAAAAAACGAUUGAAUUCGGUCAUGAUUAUUCUAUAUACUUUAGUUUUGAAUUAUAAUGUCCAUUUUUAUAUACAUAUAUAAGCAUGCGGAUGUACGUCAUUAUGUAAAAAGAACCACCACAUUACGUAACACUUGUCAACUUUAAUAAGAAUAAUUUCGUUUGAAUAAAAUAAUCAAAAAGCAACCAAUAUAGCCUCUUAAUAAAAAAUACAACCGUCAAAAAAUAAGAAUUGACACAAAAAUCAAAUAUAGUAGCGGUAGCGAUAUUUCGUGUAAUAGUGCUAAGCACUACGUUCGGUGAAUUUGAAUUAUAAUAUGCAGGCUUAAUAAUGAACUAGAUUUUAUUUUACCUAUGGAAGGUAGAUAGAAGGAAAUAAAUCUAUAUGAGUAUUAACAUCAUAGAAUAUCAAUACUAGACUGCGAGAUUCAUAUACUUUCCAUAAAAAAGUUGCUCCAACUUUAAAAAGAAGCAGCCUCUAAUGUAAGGUAUCUUUAUUUCACUGUGCGUGCAAUGAUUGGUGAAAUGAGGGAAGACAGUCGAGGAAUAGAAUGGUGGAAUUAAUACGAUAAUUUAUGUCCUUAAGUAUCAUCAUAUCUAUCUUAAAUUAGAAGCAGGUUUACAUGUUGAUCUUUCUUACCUUUAGUUAGUUUUAGGUAAAGAAUGUUUUGAGGGACUGGAAUGUUUAUUUUUUGAUUCACACCCUAGGCCAUAAGAAGAAGACGCAAUUCCAUAGUUCACUUUUUGAUACCAUAUAAGGAGUCAAGCGAGAAGGCGUGGUCACGUGACUUAUGAAAAGUGGAUUGGAGGGGCUGGUCUCAAGUGCCCCAUUACCUACUGUCCUUAAAUGAUAAAUACCAAAAGUGUUACCAAACUCUGAAAAAUCACGCUUGCGUCAAACCGCUUUCAAGAUUUGAGUAGGUUUAUUUGAAAUGAGAGCAUCAUGAAAAUACUAAAAUUUAUUUUUGAACAAAAUACAAAAACUUUGUUAUUUGUAUGUCAAAUACAAUUGCAGAACGUCA